This 253-nucleotide ribosomal RNA is filed under the name uncultured bacterium. Its description in RNAcentral is "partial 16S ribosomal RNA". It matches the Rfam family "Bacterial small subunit ribosomal RNA", at positions 524 to 776 of the family's 1533-position model. The record is from RNAcentral.
UACAGAGGUCUCAACCGUUGUUCGGAUUCAUUGGGCGUAAAGGGUGCGUAGGCGGUCGCGCAAGUCGGAUGUGAAAUCUCAGGGCUCAACCCUGAAACUGCAUUCGAUACUGCGGUGCUUGAGGACUGGAGAGGAGACUGGAAUUCAUGGUGUAGCAGUGAAAUGCGUAGAGAUCAUGAGGAAGACCAGUGGCGAAGGCGGGUCUCUGGACAGUUCCUGACACUGAGACACGAAGGCCAGGGGAGCAAACGGG